UACGAAGGGUGCAAGCGUUACUCGGAAUUACUGGGCGUAAAGCGUGCGUAGGCGGUUUGUUAAGUCUGUCGUGAAAGCCCUGGGCUCAACCUGGGAAUUGCGAUGGAUACUGGCAAGCAGAGUACGGUAGAGGAUGGUGGAAUUCCCGGUGUAGCGGUGAAAUGCGUAGAGAUCGGGAGGAACACCCGUGGCGAAGGCGGCCAUCUGGACCAGUACUGACGCUGAGGUGCGAAAGCGUGGGGAGCAAACAGG
RNAcentral lists this ribosomal RNA (252 nucleotides) under uncultured bacterium. RNAcentral's name for it is "partial 16S ribosomal RNA". It matches the Rfam family "Bacterial small subunit ribosomal RNA", at positions 524 to 776 of the family's 1533-position model. The record is from RNAcentral.